GCCGGACUUCGCCCCGCCGCCGUCCUCCAAUCCCUUCGCCCCCUCGCCGCCGGCGAGAUGUCGUCAUCGGACCGCUACAUGGCCUACUCACCCUCCCCCUCCACCACCCCCCACUCCCCCCACCUCUCCGGCAUGCGCUCCGCCGGCCCCAUCGUCGAUCAGGAGAAGUAUCUGGCAGAGUUGCUGGCUGAGCGUCACAAGCUGAGUCCGUUCGUGCCGGUGCUUCCGCACAGCUAUCGGCU
Molecule: unclassified non-coding RNA, 242 nt
Filed under: Hevea brasiliensis (rubber tree)
Lineage: Eukaryota; Viridiplantae; Streptophyta; Magnoliopsida; Malpighiales; Euphorbiaceae
Source: RNAcentral